This 199-nucleotide long non-coding RNA is filed under the name Lathyrus oleraceus (garden pea). RNAcentral's name for it is "Pisum sativum (pea) long non-coding RNA (PSAT_LNC013679)". The record is from RNAcentral. Lineage: Eukaryota; Viridiplantae; Streptophyta; Magnoliopsida; Fabales; Fabaceae.
UUCAAAGAAGGAGAAGUCAACGAAUAUUAAAAAUAAAGACAAAUCCAAAAGUUGAAUCCUCGAUAAUAGUUAAUCCUAAAGGACAAGUGUAAGAAAUAAUCCCAGCACUAAUCCAUUAGAAUGAACAUAGUGAAGAUAACGAUCGUAUUGACUCUAAACCUUAGCCUACUUUUCCAAAAUUAUCCCACCUUAACCCUAG